AAUGCUGGGCAGAGGCUCCGAGCCAAGAGACCCCCGCCCCCUGCCCCGGGACCCACCUGGGCGGAGGCGAGGGCAGGAGCGCUGGGGGCCCAGAGAGAGGACGCCGCGAUUGAUGGAUGAGCUGUUUCCAGCAUUCCUGCUUCAACUCAAAAUUUUCCUUCAUGGCGCAGUGGAAAGCUUUGAAGACCGCGGUUCUGGGGCUGAAAAUGAAGGCAACUCGGACUAAGACGACGACUGCUUUCCAACUGCCCUCUGGCCCUGCAGCCCGCGGAUUUGAGGAAGGGGCUGGGAUCCUUCCCCUUGCUCCCUGGUUGUUCUCGGAGUUACAGCAGUCCCGCGGCAGCUCUGCCUCCUAGUGCACAUGUGAGGCAGCGCGCCCUUCUCAUCCAGAAGCCUCCUCGCGGUGCUGCCAGCAAGGGAGUUUUUCUGUAUUCACUCCGGUGGAACAAGCAAAACUUGACAACCCCAAGCCAAACCAAAA
This is a long non-coding RNA of Mandrillus leucophaeus (drill), 481 nucleotides long. RefSeq lists it as uncharacterized. Lineage: Eukaryota; Metazoa; Chordata; Mammalia; Primates; Cercopithecidae. The record is from RefSeq and is a predicted model, not a curated record. The transcript has 3 exons.